Rattus norvegicus (Norway rat) is the source of this 9045-nucleotide non-coding RNA. NCBI's taxonomy places the organism in Eukaryota, Metazoa, Chordata, Mammalia, Rodentia, Muridae. The record is from RefSeq and is a predicted model, not a curated record.
UCAUGUUUGCAGGCCUCUUCUGAAACAUAUGUAUAUUCAGGUAGGGAAGAGAGUAGUUCCUGGGAAGGGAUUAGUCCCAGGCAGGCCAGCAUGGCUGUUCUGUUUUGUGAUACAGUUUUUCUUUCUAGGAGACAAAUUCUAUCUGUGAGCAUUCAUAAACGACCUCAGUGUGGAGGGUAAAUUAACUGUUUAGAUUCCCACCAGGCACUGUGGCAAACGCCAGGAUAUUGAUUUAUGUCUCAUUAGAAGGCAUUUAUUUAGCUCCACGCUUGCAUGAUUUGUAUUUUCCUUCUCUUUGAAGCUUUGAAGCUGUCCACUUCCAAACUCCAGAGGUUUCCCAGCUGCAAUACCCUGCUGUGGGAUGGGCUGGGGCUCCAGGGUCUCUUCUUACUGAUUGGUUUCAGUUUUUAUAAUUACCUUACUGUGUGGGAGUUGGGGGUUGGACACAGCUGUCGGGGAGGUGUCUGGGUUGGAAUCCAGGUUGUCAGAGUUUGUGCUCUCCCCCUACCACGUGGAUUCUGGGUAUAGCUCUAAGCUCUUGUAGGUAAGUGGCUUUCCCUGCUAAGUCAUUUUUUCAGCCUGGAGUUUUGUCUUCUGUGGUGUGUUUUAUUUGCAACCCUAAUUUCUAUAAGCACCAACUGAGGGCAAGAGUUGAAGCUCUGCUGGUAGACAUGGCCUUACAGACACAAAGCCCAGAGUUUUGACCUUGGUGCCACACAAACAGGGUUUAGUAUCACACCUGGUAUCCCAGUGUUUGGGAGGUGCAGGCAGGAGGAAGAGAAGCUCAAGGUUAUCAUCAGCUACAUGAGGCUGUGUCUCAAAAAAUGAAGAGAAACCUUAGCAAUUGAAUAUAACAAAUCACAGAGGGGACGAACACUGACCUGACUGGGGAGGAGAGGGUUUAUUUGGUUUACUGUCCUGGGUCACACAGUGCAUUAGGGGAGCCAAGGCAGGAACUAAAGCAAGACAGGAACCUAGAAGGAGGUAGGAACUGGAGCAGAAGCCAUGGAGGAACAUUAUUAUUGGCUUGGUUCCUCUGUCUUACUCAGCCUGAUUUCUUACACAACCAGAGAUGGUACCCUAGGGUGGUAUCACCCAUAGUGAACUGCUCUUCCUCCCACCAAUCAUUAACCAAGAAAGCGCCCCUCCCCCAGACUUGCCUUCAGGCAUGUGUGAUUGAGGCAAUCUCUUCUCAGGUCUGUAUCAUGGUGACGAAAUCCAGCCAGUACAGCAGAGUAUCGUGAAUACACUUGGGUACAGGUAGUGGCUAGUGGACAGUGCACAGAAUGAGAGAGAGAUAGAGAACUGAAGAAAACCUCAACUCUCUUCAUUAUUGCAGUAGAAACGUAGACUAGAAUGAUGAAUACUUGCCCCAGUGAACAAAGAUCUCGUUAUAUGAUUCAGUGGAUCUUAAUACUUCUUUUUAGCCAUUCCCUCUUAUUCUUGAUUGUUGACUUUUGAGGAAAUUACAUAGUCUGGGAUAAUUUGAGGUUUGGUAUUUCGUGCAAACACAGGAUUGAUAUCAUUGGCUAGGUCCCAGUUUCCAGAGUCAUUUUUUUUCUCCAUCUUUAUUAAAUUGGGUAUUGUUUAUUUACAUUUCAAUUGUUAUUACCUUUCCUGGUUUCCAGGCCAACAUCCCCCUAACACCUUUCCCCUCCCACUCUAUAUGGGUGUUCCCCUCCCCAUCCUCCCCCCAUUACCACCCUCCCCCCAACAAUCACAUUCACUGGAGGUUCAGUCUUGGCAGGAUGAAGGGCUUCCCCUUCCACUGGUGCCCUUACUAGGCUCUUCAAUGUUACCUAUGCAGUUGGAGCCCAGGGUCAGUCUUUGGGUAGUGACUUAGUCACCUGAAGCUCUGGUUGGUUGGCAUUGUUGCUCAUAGGGGGUCUCAAGCCCCUUCAAGCUCUAUCAGUCCUUUCUCUGAUUUCUUCAAUGGGGUGGUCCCAUUCUCGGUUCAGUGGUUUGCUGCUGGCAUUCACCUAUGCAUUUGCCAUAUUCUGGCUGUGUCUCUCAGGAGAGAUCUACAUCCAGUUCCUGUCAGCCUGCACUUCUUUGUUUCAUCCAUCUUAUCUAGUUUGGUUGGUGUAUAUAUAUGGGCCACAUGUGGGGCAGGCUCUGAAUGGGUGUUCCUACAGCCUUCCAGAGCCUUCCUAACCCGAGCUUUCUCUUAGCGUUAGGAAUCAUCCUACACAUGGCUGUCCUCUUCACAGCAAGCGUACCAUUGACACUGAGAUAGUAGGUGACUAAGCUGGCAAGAGUAGUGCCACAUCCCAGCAGAAGAUCUCGAGGUUCAGGAUAGCUGGGUCUAUCUGGUGAAAUUCCUCUGAGAAAAGAGAUUCUUGGGAACUAACAGGGGUUCAUGGUCUACUCUACGGAGAAAAUGAAGAUCUGUUCCCAAAUACUGAGCCUCAUUUUGAUUAAUACAUUUGUAUCUUACCCAUGUUGAACUUUUGCUCAAAAAUUGUUUUAGACUUGGUCAUUAAAAAGUACUGAUAGAUCUAUCAUUCUCUGUCAUUAAUACAUUAGUCUAUGUGAAUCAGAGUACACAGAGAUGUUUGGAAGACAAAGUUUCUUCUUAGCAUGAAAUUCUUGCCGUGGCUUUGCCAACUUUGGGCUGUAUGAUCUGAAGAUUAGCUAACCCCUCAAAACCAACUUUUUCCUCACUAAGAUCUAGCACAGCUACCACCCCUAUCUUGCAGAGCACAGUGAAGACUGAUAAGCACUUGUGUAGGCACGGCUUGUAGAAAUCAGUACUAUUUAAGUGUUUUAGGAAUUUUAAGCUUAAGUAAGCUUGAGUCCGAUUUAAAUUUUCAUUCAUGUCGAGAAAGCAUAAAAUAUUCUUGCAUUCCAUGUUUGCUCUCAAGACAGCCAGGAUUUUGACAGAAUAUUUGAUUUGGGCUUCUGGAGCAGACAUAUAACCUGAUGGCUUAGUGUUCCAUACACAAUGCCAGACAAAAGGCAGCUUUUAACAAAGUUCCUGUAUGGUAUUUAUCUCAGUUACUUAGAUGCUUUGCUUCUGUUUGACAUAGCAUGGAAAGUUUGGCUUUGAUCGUUAAAAUCUUUUGAUUUCAAUAUGAAUUCUGAAGGAGGAUGAAUGGACUGGUUACAAUCCACUCCUUCCUCUGUUCUUAGACUAAGCAACCUGGGGAUUCCUGGGGCGUGGGCUUUUCACAUCAGCAGCAGGCUGGCGCUGGACAAUGUCUGGCCAGCCACGGUCAGAGGUGACCAUUCCACAGCCUGUUCCUCAGUGCUGGAGCACUCCUCCAACCAUGCUGCAGCCCUGGAGAUCUGUACUGAGGACAGUUGCAAUUAUCACAAUGAGAAUGGAGAGGAUGUAGAAUACCCACCAAUUGAACCAGGGGAGGCCCUAGAAGGCCACAGGAGAAUGGAUGUAUUGAUGUGUCUUUCAAAUCAAAGGCUAAUUCGAGCUUUGUGGAUAUUGGCACCACGUCUCCAGAUUCUGAUCACGCUUCUCCUUUGCCACACCCAGCACCUGGUAACUGGCCAUCCUACCGGGAAACAGAAUCGGCUUCUUUGGUCCAUCAAAUCAAACAGGGGCCACCUGUGGGAGAUGUAGGGGUCCUGGAUUUCAAGGACGUAGCAUUGCUUUUGGAUCCAGUGGGCACCAGAACCCCAGCUCCUCCACAGGCAGAUGCAGCUUUCCUAACUCCAGGCAGGAAAGACCUUGGGAACAGAAACACCCAGUCCUAUCCAGAGGCACGGUCAAUGCUUUCACAGCCAGAUGUUCCCCUCGCUCCUUUGGAAGGAGAAAUCCUUCCUAAUUACCCCGAGUCUGGUACAUGCCACCCCUGAGUGGAGGGAGGUAUGUGGUAGGACUGGAUGACCACGUGAGUUCUAAAGCUCAAGGCAAGUGCAUUGAAAAACUGGGCAUUUGAGGUUUUGUUUAAAGAAAAUAUAGCAGAGUUGACAAACUAGACAUGGUCAUUCACCUGGGCCCAUUCCUGUCCGGGCAGGCUGGGACAGGCUGGGGCAGACUGAGACAGAAAGAUUUUCUAGGUUCAAGAGUAGCCUGGGCCAUAUAGAGAAUUGUAGGCCAGCCUGGAUUAUACAGCCAGCUCUCCUCCCAAGUGUAAUGAAAAAUUUCGGGUUGCAAGUUCAGAGAAGGUGAGCUAUUUCGAGGCUUCAUAGGCAUUGCAGGAUGGAGGGUAUAGCCAUUUAGCUUUGACUGUGGUAGUUAGCUGUGCAGGCUUAGGCAAACAUGCUGAAGAGCCUUAGGGAGAGAACAUGGUAUAGACACCUGUGUCUGCUAUUAGUUCUGGUUCUUGUCCCCACAGCUGUGGCCUUCACCUCCCCUGAACCACCUUAACCUGGUUCUGUGACUCACUAGCACUAAAGGUAGCAGGAAGAAGGCAGGGGAAUGCCCAGAGGGAACAACUUUUCAUCCAUCCUGAUGGACUGGGAAACUGGUCCUAGAUUCAUCCUCCCCUACACCUAUCUCCCGCUCUCCCUGCUCAAUGAUCUCUGCCAGGAGGACGUGUCAGAGGUCACACCUCUCUCCACAGCAUUUCAACUUCACAGUUUUUCUGUCCGUGUAUUGACAAAAACAUUAACCUAGCAGAGAGGACCUUCUGGUUCUGCUGGGACAUUUUCUGCAGGUUCAGGAGUUGUUUAGAGAAAUAGUUCAGGAGGGAAGAAAACACUUUGUGUUUAACAGAGUAUAGAGUAAUAGUUAGGGUAGGACCGUUGUUGUCAAGUUUGAAUCUUGGCCAUGCUAAGGCAACUUAUUUCACCCUCAAGUCUCUGAUUUUCAUUUAUAAACGUAUCGCCAGGAUUUGUUGUUAGUGUAUGUUAUGUUUUGAGUGUCUGCAUUAGUCUAUUCCUCAGAAGACAAUUAAGACCAUCAUUACUAAUCUUUAGAGGAUUUAAAACAUAGCAAACUGGAGGAUGGUGGGGUGAACAGCUGGGCUGGAAAACAGAGAAACUGAAAACAGAAAGUCUCAUUAAAAAGCUUUUGCCUCCUGGCUCCUUUUCUGCUUGAUGAAGUUUGAUGAGCAUUUGUUUUUUUUUAAAGCCAAAGGCAUGGAUUUCUUUUCAACGUUCUAGAACUUUCAAAUUCGUCUAACAAUCUCCUAUAAUAUUCAGUGUGAGUUCUUUCUAUCUAAAGAGAUUUAAAGGCACGAAUCAAAAAUUUCCUCAAAGGGAUUUUGUGUUACAGAUGUGUUUUUGAGUGGCCUUUUGUUGCGGGUUGUAUUUUCCUGGCCCAGGAAGAGCACACAGUUAUUGGAAAGUGGUUGUAUGUACAGUUGUCUGAAACCUGAGGAGCGGGCUAUGGCCCAGCACAAAACUGUAAACUGACCUAAAACCUUCAGAGAGUUUUCUUUUGCAAUCGGUCAUGGUCCUUGAAGCAUGAACUUUGGAGAUGAUAAUGUGUCACGGUGUCAAAGGUUGUGCGUGGCUGUUUAAGAGCUCAGAAAGGCCUGAAAUGGAGCCAGUCACUGGGAACUGAGGGUAACAGCAUAACCCAGGAGGGACAUGAUCUGUGCUAUUUAAUCAGCUGCCAAAUGUAGUCAAUGCUGACAUCUAAAUGCUAGAAUGUUUAUGAAAAAGACAUUCAGGGGGAGAUUGUCCAACUGGAAGCUUUUAAGUCUUAGAGGAGAAAAAUACUUUUAAAUUUUAUUUAAAAAAAUUUAUGUGUGUUCAUGUGUACACGUUCAUGUGUGGGAAAGCCUAGCCCUUAAGAAAGAAUGUUUGGUGAGCUGUGUGAACCAUAGAAACACGUAAUUGUUAUUAUUUAUGUUCAGAGGAAACACUGUUCUCCCGGAGGUUUAUCCAGCAGCUGUGGGCUUACUCUGGGCAGCUGUUGACAUGGGGCUGAGCUGUAGUACCAGCUCAAGGUAGGAAAUGCGUGGCUUCUGGUAGUGGAUGGACUUGAGUUCCCCCGCAGUGUAGUUUGAACACAGAUGCUGUUUGAACCUUAUUUUCUGAACAGAGAGCACCCUUCUCAAUAAAUUUUAACUUCCCCUUUAAGCAUAUAGGAUUUGGUUUGCUGAGUCAGGGAAUUAGGAUUUUGUUAAAGGCUCAGAAAAUUUCUCUUCUUUUUAGUAUUGUUUUCAUUAGGGUGUGUGUGUGUGUGUGUGUGUGUGUGUGUGUGUGUGUGUGUCUGUGUCUGUGUUUGUGUGUGUGUCUGUGCAUGCCUGCCUGCCUGCCUGCCUGUGCAUAUGUAUAUGUGUUGUAUAGGCCCCAUAGGCAUAGGAAUAGGAGAGGUGCUCUGAAGUGGCCCCAGGUCAGCUUAUGCAGCAUGGUAGUAUAGACAGGUUCCAUGCUGCCACCCUGAGCAGUGUUUCUUUGUCCUGCAGCCCUGCUCAUAUUGGGAGCUUUCAAUUCCAGGCUGCAGUAGGUUUUUGGUUGUCACAGCAGAGAGUAUCUGCAUUCUCACCGCCAGGGAGGUAGACCCCAUUUGCAAAGAGAGAGAGAUUGUUGGGGAAAGGCUGCAGCGCAUUUGUUAGUCUCAGUAGAUUGAGCAGCUGUGAACUUUCCCUUCACUAAGGCCAUCCCUAACUCAAGCCUCGGGAACUGUUCCCUACAGCUUUUACUCUGGACUGAGCUCACCCUCCCUGUUGCCUGCCCUGAUCCUCAGCUGUAGAGAGCCACAAUAACAUUCGUCACCACAUGAUGGCGCUGGCUUCCACUGCACCCCACGUGGAAAGCCGAGAUAACAUUUGCCAUUACAAGAUGGCGCUGGCUUCCGCCAUGCCAGCCCGACUUCCUUUCAGGAAGUUAACUGUGUGCACAUGUGCAAGAGUGUCUUCCUGCCAGGUCUUUGCCGACUCCGGGGCGUGCCUAUGAGAUCAUGGGUAAGCGACCAAUCAGGAGUGGAUGUGCCGCGCUAGGGUGUAUAUAAGCCGCGCCAUGAUGGCGCCCCGAGUCCCCUCUCUUUAAGAUACCAUAAACAUUUUGCUACAGAAGGAUUCAUGUGUCCGUGAGUGUUCUUGCUGGCGAGACGAUAGCGCGAGACACUCAGCUUCCACCUGGUUCCCAGCAGCUACACAAACAGACCAGUUCUUUUAGUCUGAGGCAGGGAUUUUGUUGCAGCUUUCAACCUGGAGUAGAAAGCGCUGCUAAGGUGCUGGGGUCCUCGCAGCUGGGAGAACUGAAGUAGAGGAGGAAGGUGCGGCCAGGUCGAAAGCUCUGGGCCAGGGUGUGGUGGUAUCACAGGUGGCCAUUUCUGAGCACCUUCUCCACUGCUGUUUCUCACCCCCUGGCUUCUGAUACUCGCAGGCUGCUUCUGACAUUCCCAUAGUGACGCAGGAUGGGGAGGGUACUGUGGGCAACAAGUAGACACACCACCCAAUCCGGAUCAGGCGACCCAAGGGUGUCUGUUAGCCCCGCCUCCGCCCCCCAUGUCCCACCCCCAGACUGCGGCCAAGCUGCUCAAGUGGUUCUAGCUGUUGGUGGGGUCCUGCAGCUGUGAUAGGCUCCUCCUCUCCGGCCCUUCCUCCCCGCACACCUCUCAGGCCCUCCUGGGAUAGCUGUCCUCCUCUGGGGCCCUGUACUUGCUCCCAGCCAUGGUGGCUAGCUCACUGCUCUCCUCCUUUACCUCGUUUUCUCCUUGGCCAUCCUGGUCCAGACAGGAUAUGGAGACUUCGAUGAUUUUAAUCUGGAGGAUGCACUGAAAGAAACUUCCUCAGUAAAGCGUGACUCAAACAAACAAGUCCACCAAGCAAACACAAGUGGUCGGCCAUGCACCACACUGACAAUCUUGCCUUCAGAAAAGUACACGCAUAUGAGACUAGCUGUACCUCCAUCUACCUGUUUGUUCUGUUGUGCAAGGCUUGUGUCGUUUUGUCAUACGUGUGUCAUCUUCCUUUUACAUUUAGAAAAUUUCAUAAUUUUCAUUAUGUUGAAACCACAAGAGAACAUGCAUCUGCCUUCGCCUUUUUUCUGCUGUACAAAAAGAGAACUCCGACCCGUUUCAUUCCUCUCACUGUUUUGUUUUGAGACAGGGUCUCUUGAUUCAGCCCGAGUUGUCCUGAAAUUCUCUGUGCCGAGAAGCCCGGCUUUGACUUGGGUCCAGUGCUAGAGCAACAGUGACUCUUGGCCACUGAUGUGCAUUUCUAGCUUCAGAACCCAUGACUUUUUAUGAUUCUUCAGUGUGAUCCCCACAAUGGCCUCGGGGACCUAUACCGAGACCAUUCUCACGAUGUGACUUCCGUUAACCAUAAAGCAGCCACUGUGUUUUACAAUCUGCUUCCUUUCGUCCUCCCUUCUCCCUUCAGAGAGCCACUUUAGCACCACGACUAGAAGGACAGGAACAACCAGAGCCCCAUCAAAUCCAGCAGAGAGAGGGGACCACAUCACCACUACUACAACGAGAAGGCCAGGAACAACUAGAGCACCAUCAAAUCCUAUGGAACUUGAUAGGUUUGACUUGGAAGAUGCCUUGGAUGAUCAGAAUGAUCUAGAUGGCCCCAAAAAGCAAAGUACAGGAGAAGGAGGAGGUUGAUCAGACAAGGAUCUCGAAGAUAUCUUGGGAGGCGGGGGAUACAAACCUGACAAGAAUAAAGGUAGGAAUGUUGCUUUGUUUGGCAACACAUGGAUUCUCCUUAAAAUGCUAACCAUCCGGCCACCAGGUAAACAUGUCACUCUCAGCCUCUGGCAAAUCAGGCUUUGACAUGUGCACCUGUCAUGUGCAGUAGGCUCUCAUUCUUGUGGGUGGGGGCUCAUUUGUGAGCCAUCCUGGGAUGCUACCCAUUUGCUCUGUUGCUCUUUAAGCCUGAGCUGGUGUCCCCACUACCUAGGUGCACCUCAUAAGCCAGUUUUCCAUGCAGUGCGAGGGUUCAAACUUAACAUGGCACACAUUUUAAAGAAGCCCCUAGCAAAUCAGAUGUUUACAAAAUUCCUUUGGAUUCCAUUUCCCCUUCCCAGGAAGAUUCACACUUCCCUCCUAUUGGAUUCCAGGAAGUGGAAAAUCUCCUUGGGGUGUAUCCUGUGAGCAAAGAAACUAUUUUCAAUUAAAAAGACAAAAAGUUGGGGGAGGGGAAGGAGAGGGAAUGGGUGCUGAUGGACAGGAAGGCGGGAAGGGGA